ACGGGAGGCAGCAGUGGGGAAUAUUGCACAAUGGGCGCAAGCCUGAUGUAGCAACGCCGCGUGAGGGAAGACGGUUUUCGGAUUGUAAACUUCUGUCUUUGGUGACGAAGAAGUGACGGUAGCCAAGGAGGAAGCCACGGCUAACUACGUGCCAGCAGCCGCGGUAAUACGUAGGUGGCAAGCGUUAUCCGGAAUUACUGGGUGUAAAGGGAGCGCAGGCGGGACUUCAAGUCAGCGGUGAAAAUUAUGGGCUCAACCCAUAAACUGCCGUUGAAACUGUAGUUCUUGAGUGGAGUAGAGGCAGGCGGAAUUCCGAGUGUAGCGGUGAAAUGCGUAGAUAUUCGGAGGAACACCAGUGGCGAAGGCGGCCUGCUGGGCUCUAACUGACGCUGAGGCUCGAAAGUGUGGGGAGCAAACAGGAUUAGAUACCCUGGUA
Molecule: ribosomal RNA, 436 nt
Filed under: uncultured bacterium
Lineage: Bacteria
Description: partial 16S ribosomal RNA
Rfam family: Bacterial small subunit ribosomal RNA
Source: RNAcentral